AAAAUGCAAACAAGGGCUUCUAGUUUCAAUCUAAGUUCAGAUGGCAACUCAUCCAUAUUAGGUUUCAAGACAAAUUUCACAAACAAAUCCAGUAGUAGAACUACUUACAUUAUGACGGUGUCGCGUGCAAUAUGACCUAUUACAAUGGUUGCAUUUAGGAAGUUGAAGCCAGCAACUUGAACACAAGAUACCUGCACAUACAGCCUCUUCUAUUUCAUCAUCAUCGACACAUCCACCGCAUUCUUCACACCUUGGAACGCAACAAAUGCAACCCCGACAAUCGCCCAGUGUUUGCUCCUCUUGCUUUAUCUUGCAUCUCUCCCUUGAGCAAUCAUAAACA
RNAcentral lists this unclassified non-coding RNA (340 nucleotides) under Hevea brasiliensis (rubber tree). Lineage: Eukaryota; Viridiplantae; Streptophyta; Magnoliopsida; Malpighiales; Euphorbiaceae. The record is from RNAcentral.